CCUACGGGAGGCAGCAGUGGGGAAUAUUGCACAAUGGGGGAAACCCUGAUGCAGCGACGCCGCGUGAGUGAAGAAGUAAUUCGUUAUGUAAAGCUCUAUCAGCAGGGAAGAAAAUGACGGUACCUGAGUAAGAAGCACCGGCUAACUACGUGCCAGCAGCCGCGGUAAUACGUAGGGUGCAAGCGUUAUCCGGAUUUACUGGGUGUAAAGGGAGCGUAGACGGCAGUGCAAGUCUGGAGUGAAAGGCGGGGGCUCAACCCCCGGACUGCUCUGGAAACUGUACGGCUGGAGUGCAGGAGAGGUAAGUGGAAUUCCUAGUGUAGCGGUGAAAUGCGUAGAUAUUAGGAGGAACACCAGUGGCGAAGGCGGCUUACUGUACUGUAACUGACGUUGAGGCUCGAAGGCGUGGGUAGCAAACAGGAUUAGAUACCCGAGUAGUC
RNAcentral lists this ribosomal RNA (440 nucleotides) under uncultured bacterium. RNAcentral describes it as "partial 16S ribosomal RNA". It matches the Rfam family "Bacterial small subunit ribosomal RNA", at positions 338 to 795 of the family's 1533-position model. The record is from RNAcentral.